UCCCAUUCAGUCAUGGAUGCGGUUACCUGCAGUUCCUGGCCGAACACGGCCGGCCGCGUAUAACGAAGGGCCAGCUUGACGACGGGCCAUGCGUAACCCGACUCGGACAUCUCGGUAUACCCGUAGUCAAUGCUGUCGAGCAAAGCGCAUCGCGCCACCUCGAGGUACUUGACAUAGUGGCCGUGCCAGACAACAUCCAUGCUGUCGACGUCAAAAAAAGGUACGCGGAUGUCCGCGACGGCACUGGGAAGCGUCGGCAUCACGACUCCUCGUGCCAGAAUUGGAAAAAGUUGUACCACUGCUCCGGAUACCGCAACAUCACUUCCUCCACGACGUUUGCGUAAAGUUGAGCAUAAUCCUGCAACGCCUGCCGUCGAUUGCUGCGCUGAGCCAGGUGCAC
Molecule: unclassified non-coding RNA, 400 nt
Filed under: uncultured fungus
Lineage: Eukaryota; Fungi
Description: sequence contains ITS1
Source: RNAcentral